GGCCAGACUCCUACGGGAGGCAGCAGUGGGGGAUAUUGCACAAUGGGGGAAACCCUGAUGCAGCGACGCCGCGUGAGUGAAGAAGUAUUUCGGUAUGUAAAGCUCUAUCAGCAGGGAAGAAAAAAGACGGUACCUGACUAAGAAGCCCCGGCUAACUACGUGCCAGCAGCCGCGGUAAUACGUAGGGGGCGAGCGUUAUCCGGAUUCACUGGGUGUAAAGGGAGCGUAGACGGCCAAGCAAGCCAGGGGUGAAAGCCCGGGGCCCAACCCCGGGACUGCCCUUGGAACUGCAUGGCUGGAGUGCGGGAGGGGCAGGCGGAAUUCCUGGUGUAGCGGUGAAAUGCGUAGAUAUUAGGAGGAACACCAGUGGCGAAGGCGGCCUGCUGGGCUUUUACUGACGCUGAGGCUCGAAAGUGUGGGGAGCAAACAGGAUUAGAUACCCCGGUAG
This 448-nucleotide ribosomal RNA is filed under the name uncultured bacterium. RNAcentral describes it as "bacterial SSU rRNA". It matches the Rfam family "Bacterial small subunit ribosomal RNA", at positions 329 to 793 of the family's 1533-position model. The record is from RNAcentral.